Non-coding RNA from Podarcis lilfordi (Lilford's wall lizard), 8356 nucleotides. The record is from the annotation of a GenBank genome assembly. NCBI's taxonomy places the organism in Eukaryota, Metazoa, Chordata, Lepidosauria, Squamata, Lacertidae.
UGGGUGUCUUUGGACUGGAGCCAAUAUACACACACACAUAUAUCUCUGCAAUAAGCUAUCCUCCACAUUGUUUGCAUGAAAAUGAGGCCUUUGGCGACAGCUCAUUAUUAUUUCCAUUCAUAAAGGGAUGUAAUUCAUAGUGUUCCGUUUCACAGUGGUAAAACCACUGAAUUAAAGGGCUUGCAUUUGCAUUUUACAGACCUUUGCAGAGAGGAUUUGCAAUAGCCUAAAUUAAGACAUCGUAUUCAUGCCUUAAGUGGGGGAAGAUCAGACAAUUCACAAGGGGCAAGGCCCACACAGAGUAUGUUUUAUUUAUGUGCUAUCAGGCAUGCUGAGCAGAAGAGAUGAUUUCUGCCCAACCCCGGCUUUGCACUACUAGGGCAGCCCAUUUUGGUGCUGCAAGGGAGUGGUGAGAAACAAACACUACAAGGUAAAAAGAUGAGGAAAUUUGUGAUGCAACUGAAUGUUGCAGAUCGGAGUUUGGUUCUAGCUACCCACCUCAGAGGCGGUCUUAGGGUGGCAUGCCCAGUGCACAUUGAAACAAUGCCAUAGAAUGGAGCCGGAGAGGCAAGUGGCGCAGAAUUUUAGCAUCACACAAGGUGCCACUGAAAUUUGAGAGCCCAAAGUCCACCACUGCCUACCUCUGGAAUGGAUGGCAAGGAUGCAUCCUUGGCUUCCAGUCUUUCAUACUUUUAAUUUUGGACUUAAUUAGUUAUAUGAGCAGAUUUGCAAUUGGGGAACUCAAAAUGCAAUCUUCCCUGGUUUAAAAACAAACAAUCCUUGUUCCUGUGUUUUACUGCCGUGCCCUGCCCUUUGCACUGCUGAACAGCAUGUUGACACCUGAUGGAAGGGGUUUUGUGCAUUCUUAGAUUGCAUGAAUGUGCUUGCACAACAUUCACACAAAGCAGAAGGUGGGUUGGUGAGAUACACAAGUACCACAUACCCUUUUGUUCCAGCCCAGUCAUGUUCUGGGCUCAUUCAUGUUCUGGGCUCAUAAUGAUAAGAUCAUUAGAGAACUUUGUUAUGGAACAGCAUGCAAAUGUCACAUAUACGUGGAUUUUAAAAAAGAAUCCUCCUUGAUCAGAUGAAAGGUUCAUCUAGUCCAGCAGCCCAGUUCCUACAGAUUACCCAGAUUACCCCAGAAAGUCUACAAACAGGAUGGAAGGCUUCUUUGCUGUUACUCCUGAGCAUCAACCAUUACAACCAUUAGCCUACAGACUGAUUACAUUGUAGGAUUAUUGUUGGGAGGGUUUUGCCCUGAUAAGGAAAGACUGCUGGAAUUCUCUGAGGUUCCUAAAGGAUUAUUGCUUGCUUCAGAGUUCGCAUACACUUUCAAACACAUUUUAGACGCUACUGCUCAAGGGUUGUGCCCUCUUUCUCCUCCUCCUCCCUGUUCUGCUUUAAUUUUGAUCUUAUAAUCCUAGGCAAAGCAAGUUCUCACUGUUUUUCUGGCACAAUAUUUCAGUAUUGCCUUAAGUAGAGGUUUUAUCUUUAUAAAGAAGGAGUUGUCUAAGUAAAAGCUGGUGAGUGAAAAGGAAGAAUGUACAUGAGUUUAACGAUGAUUUAUUACUGAAAUAUAAUGAAACAGCAGGAAGGGCAAACCUAACUUACACUCCUCAUUUAAAUCAUUCAAAUGCUGCCUCUAUUUGACUGUCUAGAGUGGAGAAGCCUGAGGCAAUUGUCACUUCUACCACACCCAAACACGACCUAGCUGGCAAAAAGUGUGUUACAUGGAAAGUACAACCAUCCCACCCUUUUUUUAAGCAGUUGGAGCUAAUGUAUGCUGCAUGUAUAUUAAGGGAAGCAUGCUUGCUGUUUUCUCACCUCAGGCAAUGGAAAGUUAGUUCCUCUGAAAUUGAAGGCAUAACUUUACUUUUGUUUUCUGUGGAAAUCAAUUUUCUAGCUCAAAAAAUGUUUAAAUCAUUAUUAUGGGCUUGUAGCCAAUGCUGGGAUGGACGAAGCUGUCAAUUCUGUUACUCUCAAUUUCUCUUUUUUCACUCCUAUAUGCAUUGUUAAGCACACCUUUCCAAUAAUACACACAUAUACACAUCAUCACACACAUUAUUUGGUUGGAGAAGUGCAUUGCAUAAUUCAGAGAAGUGUGAAUUUCAAAGGAUAGCUGAGUUUUCAGGCUGCAUAUCCUUCCAUGAAGUGUGAAUUGCGUAGAGUCACAUGUAAAUGCCAAGUGAACUGGAUUUCUCCCCCAUACCUAAGACAGGUGUCCACUCACAUAACAGAACUUCCUCCUUCAUCUCCUUCCCUGCACCCACCCCCCAAUCUGUUCCAAAUGGUCCCUCAACCCUCUGGAGUAGAUUUCGGGGGUGCAUAGAGAAGGAAAGGAAGAGGAAGUUCUACUCUUCUUCUUUUAAAAAAUAAUAAUAAUAUUUAUUAAUUUUCCAACCGUUUAAACACAACAAAACACUAACGCAUAAGACUAACAAAAUAAGACUAACAAAACAAGACACAAACCAUUUAAAACACAGAACAAUUUCAAUAUCUUAUCUUUCAUUCCCUUAUUUCCACGACCUCCUCACACCUCCCUUUUUGUGUUCCACUUCUAUUAAUUGUUUCAGCAAUUCCUUUCCAUCUUCCUCUGUUUUCUAUCCUAUAAUUAUCUUAACACAUUCUAACCUUAUUUUUCCCUUUAAUACUCUAUUAAUCUAUUUAUACUUGAUUCCUUAUAGCAUUUCUACUAAAGCCAUAUAACUUCAUUCCAACAUUUUUCUAACAUUCAUUAUUUUUACAGUAUUUCUAUAAAUAGUCUUAAACUUUUUCCAGUCUUCUUCCACCGACUCUUCUCCCUGGUCUCAGAUUUCUGCCAGUCGUUUCCGCCUAUUCCAUAUAGUCCAUCAGCUUCAUCUGCCAUUCUUCCCGAGUAGAUAAAUCUUGUGUCUUCCAAUACUUCACAAUGAGUAUUCUUGCUGCUAUUGUUGCAUACGUGAAAAAAGUUCUAUCCUUCUUUAACACCAAUUGGCUGACCAUGCCCAGGAGAAAGACCUCUGGUUUCUUCAAAAGGGUAUAUUUAAAUACCUUUUUCAUUUCGUUAUGAAUCAUCUCCCAGAGUGUCUUAAUCCUUGGGCAUGUCCACCAAAGGUGAACUCUAAUCCUCAAAUUCGUCUGUUUUUCUUUAAGUUCAGUCAUAGCAAGCGUCAACUUAUGUUCAUCAAAUUGCCUCUGUAGGGCUGGGGCUUUCUUUCUCUUUCUCUUUCUCUCCAGUUGUGUUACUUUACAUUCAGCAACAACGGCUUUUUCCCUGGCUUCCUGCGCAGUUUGCCGUAUCAAAGUAGGUUCCUGUAUCAAUUUCUGGGUGGUUUCUGUAUUAGUAUUAUUUAUACUUUCUGUAUUUAAGUUAAUUUUAGUAAUUGAAACAUCCACUUUCGCAUUUAUCGUGUCCAUUUUCCUGUUAAGCUGAUCCAGUGAGUCAUUUAUCUUAUAUAAUGCAGCCACUAAAGCCUCUUCUGUCGACAUUCCUCUUGGUUUUAGAUAUACUGGUACAAAGGCAACGACAGAAGGAGCAGGGGGGCCUGAUGAUGGACCUCUCCUGGAUUGUUGCCAAGUCCUCCCAGACCUUAAUGUUUUGUCAGCAGUUGACUGGUCUGUUUUUCCUCUUCCAUUUACCAUAACACUUAAAAGAUUCAAGGUCAGUCCCAGAGUCUCACGGUUUUUAACUUGCAGCUGGAAAUUCCCCUAGCCCAGCUCUUAUAAAGCAACCGGUUUCAAAGGCUUCCACUAGGGGGAAACAGUUUCUAUUUGUAAUAGUCAAUAGUAUCCUCUUUUAAGAAAUCCAAAAUUAGUUUCAAUUUUCAGUUACUUUUACUCCUUUUUAAAGCAGCCAGAGACAGUAGAAACAAUGUAUUUCUCUUGUUUAACUAGCUGUCAAUGAACGUUCUAAACGCUGUCAAUGAACAUUCCAAAAGACGUCAGUCCUGCUAGCAGCCCAUUUCCAGGGUCGGAGCAGCGGUGUUUUAAAUCUCUCCGCUCUCUCCCACAAGCAUACUCAAUCCGCACCUUCCCCCUCUCUUCUCCUGCCUCCAAGAGGGGGUUUAAUGUUCUUUACCGAUGGAAUUUUAAUCUUUUACAAAAGGCUUUCCAGGACUCCAGCUUGCAACUUCAUUGCCUCAGUCUAUUUACAAAAGGGGAAGGCGGACUUCCUGUUUUGAACCUCCCCGUUACGGUACCAAAUUAAACAUUUAGAAAUCCAAUUCUUCCACUUCAGCUCUACUCACGGGUAAUUACUUUAAAGUCAAAUUGUCCACAGGAAAAGGUCAGUGCUCUCCAGCAACAGCUAUGCGGCUUCGCUCCGUGGAAGAAGCAGACGAUUCGAUGCACCGCGCCGCUCACCCCACGUCGCUCCGGAUCCCCCAAAACCGGGGUUCCCCGUGAGUGGGGGAGGCGCAAAAGGUGCCCGCCGAAUCCCACGCUCACAGGCUUCUCCCGCCUGUGAUUUUAACGGGUCUCCGCCUUCGCCAUGGCGGCCAGACCCAGAUUCCCACGGAGCAGAUUCCUCCCAGUCAGAGGAAUUCCGCCAUUACCGGAGGCACCUCCCCGGAAGUCCAGGAAGUUCUACUCUUCUUCCUUAUGUACACUGUUGGGUACAUCCUAGUAGUAGUAACACUAGUAGUAGCAGUAUGCUGCACAUCAGUAGAACCAUGUGCACCAUGGAGUAAGCUACACUGAACACAUCAGGACAUAUGCAUAAUGGAAUAUGCAGAAAUGCAUGGUGUUGCCCCCACACCUUCAAAGAAAACUCAAGAGACAAAUGUUUCCCUGAAAUGCACAUGUUGGGCCUCAGUCUCACCAGGCACAAUGUACUGGGAAGUCCCAAAUGGGUCCCCUUUAUCCAGUAAUGCCUCAGUAUACCUAAUGUUUCUCUUCCCAACUUCCUCACCUGCCCAGACUCAUGGCCCAAAGAACAACCAAGUCAUACCACUUCCAACUGUCAAUCUAAUUCUAUCAAGCAAUGUGAAAUUGGCCAAGGAGGAGAAAAUCCUACUCAGCCCCUUCUAGCAGGCAACUAGCAAAAGCCCACACUGCAUAUAGGUAGGAAGGAUGGGUACAGCAAAAGCAUAAGGAUGAGCUCAGAAAGGAGCUGGCUUAUAGAGCCACACUUACCCCACUCCCAGUGGGCCAUCAGAACCCACUUGGUCUUCUCAACCCCCUGGCUUUAAGAACCACUCUUACAACUCCUUUUUGAGAAAGGUGGUGGAGCCAACAUGCCCCUGCUAUAAGUAGGGGUGGGUUAUAUUAUUAAUCCCUCAUUUGAAUGCAUGGGGUUUGGGUCUAACUAUCCAGUUAGUCGUAUCACGUGUGAUCAACAAAGAUGGAAAUGCAGAGUGUGUUCCACCAAUUUAUCUCUUCAUCUCUCUUUUUAACUAUAAGAGAUCUGAUUCACUGUGAUUUGUGCUGGUUUUCCAAAAGUACCUCCUGAAAGGGUCAGUUGGUGUUACAGCAUACGGAAACAAAACCUAAUCAUAUGUGUGAUAACCAUGCACUUUGAAGAACAGGUUGACGGGAGUCUCAUUUGAAUUUAACCACAAUAAAGUUACAAAAAUAAUGGAAAUGUCCUUGAGAUAAUAUAGGACAACAGUCUAAAGAAAUGCAUUUAUAUAACAGUACUUCAUCAAAGGGAGUUGACAGCACAGUAUAAAUGGAAGGUUUACAUGUUCAAACUGCAAUAAAAGGUCAUGUGACAGCAAACAAAUAGGGCAGCUCUUUAAAAAAAGAGUUGGUGUGCAUUAAAUCUUUUCAGCGAUCUAUUAUUGCUCAGGAAUCCUGGUAAUAUACAAUACACUGGGAAAGUAAGUCAUCACCCAGUAUCAGUUCUUUAUACAAUGGUACCUCAGGUUACAUACACUUCAGGUUACAUAUGCUUCAGGUUACAUACUCUGCUAACCCAGAAAUAGUGCUUCAGGUUGAGAACAGAAAUCGUGCUCCGGCGGCACGGCAGCAGGAGGAGGCCCCAUUAGCUAAAGUGGUACCUCAGGUUAAGAACAGUUUCAGGUUAAGUACAGACCUUCCUGAACGAAUUAAGUACUUAACCCAAGGUACCACUGUAUUCCAUUUCAUAGUCUACUGUGGGUUUGUGAUUAUGCUGAAAUAAAGGGUUCUGGGCAAAUCGUUUCUUCUUGAUAUGGACUGCAACUGCUGAGCUCACUGGGGAAAAUGAGCAUAUAAUUUCCGUGCUAUUUUAAAUCGUACCGGAGCUAAGUGGAAUUAAUAUAGUUCAUUUAUUUUGCAACACAUUGAUUAACUGGCAAUUAGAAGUUGACAACUAAUUCUCUUUUAUGAAGCAACAAAGGUGAAUUUACCUCUCUUGCUAAGCUUUCAUAGUGAGCCAAUGUCUGCCUUCGCAUAGGUUGCCAAGACCAUGUUGCCUCGCCUCCUAGUGCUGAAUUUGGCGCUGGGAGCUCAUAAAAGAAAAAUCUACAAAUAGAGCUCUGACAUCCUGGUUUAUGACACAGCCUCCGGAUGAAAUGUAGCUUUCUUAUUAUGAGGAAAUAACCCAGUUGAAAGUUUGUUACAUUUAAAAGUGGUACAGACACAGAUCGUGAUGAGUUUGGCAUCCCCAUUCACUUCCACAAACAGCAGCUGAAUCCUAUAGUCUUCGUGGAAGAUGAAGCUCAAAUCUUCAUGGCACUCCAAAGGAGAGAACCAUUUUUUCCAAAAAGACUGAACUACUGAGUAGCAUCAUAGUGCGUCUUUUUUUGUCAAAACUGAUAAUUGGCUCUUACUCUACUAUAUUGCUGGAUUCUGUGGAUAGGCUACAUUACAGCUGCAAUAUAAUGAGGACGCAUUCCACUGGGAAGUUCUGCAAGAGCCCCAUUGCUCUUGCACAGCUCAUAUUCAUUCCUUUCAACAAAACUUCAGCAGUAAUGUUUCUUGCUCUAUGUUUUUAAGUCGUCAUGAAGCUGAAAAUACUCAGCUGAAAGCAUCCUGGCUUUCGAUAUUCUGGGGAACCAGAUGGCUGCCUUUCUACUCAAGGAACUGUACAAUCAUAAAGUAUCUACUGGGGUCAAGAAGGCCCAUCCUAAUUUGGUGGUGCGUAUAUUGGCUGCACCAUCUACACAAGAAUGAGGAUGUGCUCUUGUCCUGGAAAGCACUCUUGCAUAAAUCUGAAGUGCACCUAAUUACAACCAACAAGAAAUGCACUGGAUGAGAGGAAGGUAAUGGAUACCAGAAUGUCUCUCAAGGCAGCUGUUAGGGUUUCUUUCAGUUAAUGGCAUUUUGCUGUUCUUCUCCCUGAGUGCUUUAGGAUGCUAUUUAUUUUUCUAGGUUAGUGGGUAGGAACCAUGCAAACAGCAUAUAAAUAAGAAGGCUUUCGUCAUUUGGAUGUCAUUGUUUUUUCAUGUCCACAUUUGGAUUUUUCCUUAAACAGGGACUGUUUCUCAAAUUGUGCAUGUACAGGGAGAGACCCAACAAGAGUUAUAAAAGAAAUCAAACUUUCAGAGUAAAAGUUGUUUGAAAACGAAGAAGCUUUUCCAGCUGUUAUAUUGCAUCUAGUUCCCUAAUAUUUAUUUCAAAUGACAUAAAAAGAUGCACUUUAUAUGCAUUCAGGAGAAAAGAAUACAUUUUACUACUUGCGUAUGCAAUGAAUAAUUUAACUUGUACAUAUAAUUCAAAUCAAAACAAUUGCAGGAGCCAUUUGAAGGGAAGAUGUGAAAUUUAAUCUAGAAAUGUGGGAGUUUACUAUAGAUCCCCAAGCCAAACAGAGGACAUAGAUGAUGCCUUCCUGGAACAGAUGGCCAAGCAUGCAAAAGGAAGGGAGAUAGUAGUAAUGGGGGACUUCAAUUACCUGGAUAUUUGUUGGAUGUCAAACUCAGCCAAGAGCAUAAGGUCAAACAGAUUCCUCACUGGCCUUGCAGACAACUUCAUUGUCCAGAAAGUGGGAGAAGCAACAAGAGGAACAGCCAUUUUAGAUCUGGUCCUAACCAAUGUUGAUGACCUGGUUAGUGGGGUAGAAGUGGAAGGAUCAUUAGGCGCGAGUGAUCAUGCUCUUCUGAAGUUUACUAUACAGCGGAAAGGAGCAGCCAAGCAUACUAGGACUCAAUUUCUUGACUUUAAGAAAGCCGACUUCAUAAAACUUAGGGAAGUGCUGGGUGAGAUCCCAUGGACAGUAAUACUAAAAGGAAAGGGAGUUCAUGAUGGCUGGCAGUUUGUUAAGAGGGAGAUAGUAAAAGCACAAUGUCAGGCAAUACCAAUGAGACAUAAACAUGGAAGGUGCCUAAAGAAGCCAGGGUGGCUAUCUAAAGAACUUUUAACUGAGUUAAGAUUAAAAAGGAUGUGUACAAAAAUGGAAAAGGGGGAAACCACCAAAGAGGAAUUCAAACAAAUAGCCAGCACGUGUAGACACAAAGUC